Long non-coding RNA from Arachis duranensis, 745 nucleotides. RefSeq lists it as uncharacterized. The transcript has 3 exons. Lineage: Eukaryota; Viridiplantae; Streptophyta; Magnoliopsida; Fabales; Fabaceae. The record is from RefSeq and is a predicted model, not a curated record.
UGGCAAAACAAGUCUGUGGCCGGUCAAAAAAAUAGGGCUGCUAUGCCUGCUCAUAAACUACACACUGAAGGGUUUAUCAGUUUUGGCGAACACAAGAGAAGAAAGGAAGCUAAGUUGAAGCAUCGUGUGUCUUUCCUUGAAGUAUAUGAUGAUGUUCAUAAGAAAAAAAGUGGAGAAUAUGUUUCUGAAGUAUCCAAGGAAAUUAUUGACUUAUAUUGAGAGGCAAUAUCACAAAAAUAUGGAGAAGAUUUAAUAGAUCAACCUAAAGUUGAUCCUGACGUGUGGACAGAAGUUGCAGGAACCAACAAGAAAGGACGAGUUCAUGGGUUAGGCCGCAGUCUGGAUAUUGGUAUUCAUGAUCAUAGAGAUGUUCCAUUACCUGAAGAUACAGGUGUUUCUACAGUCAAGUCAGUUUCACAAACAGACAUCACUGAGGCCAUUAAAGAAGCAUUGCCUAGUGCUAUAAAUGCAGUGUUGCCUAGUGUUGUAAAUGAAGGUAUAUAGAGUAAUUUACUGUCUCUCCUUUCUAAGAUUCCAGGAUUCUACCAAGAGAAGAACCAUUAGAGUAAUUUUGUUGGGAAUAAUAUUUGGUUAGGUGGCUUAUGUUAAUGCAAUUUGUUAGGCUUAGCUUAUUAUCGUAGUUUAUUUGUUUGAUAGAUAAUUGAUUAGGCAAUUUGUUUCAUUUUCAGUUUUUAUAGAAGUUGGCUUACUUUUAUUGGUAGUUUACUUAGUUGAUAAAUAAUUA